This 491-nucleotide ribosomal RNA is filed under the name uncultured bacterium. RNAcentral's name for it is "partial 16S ribosomal RNA". It matches the Rfam family "Bacterial small subunit ribosomal RNA", at positions 29 to 507 of the family's 1533-position model. The record is from RNAcentral.
AGUGAACGCUGGCGGUAGGCCUAACACAUGCAAGUCGAACGGCAGCACAGUAAGAGCUUGCUCUUACGGGUGGCGAGUGGCGGACGGGUGAGGAAUACAUCGGAAUCUACUUUUUCGUGGGGGAUAACGUAGGAAACUUACGCUAAUACCGCAUACGACCUACGGGUGAAAGCAGGGGAUCUUCGGACCUUGCGCGAUUGAAUGAGCCGAUGUCGGAUUAGCUAGUUGGCGGGGUAAAGGCCCACCAAGGCGACGAUCCGUAGCUGGUCUGAGAGGAUGAUCAGCCACACUGGAACGGAGACACGGUCCAGACUCCUACGGGAGGCAGCAGUGGGGAAUAUUGGACAAUGGGCGCAAGCCUGAUCCAGCCAUACCGAGUGGGUGAAGAAGGCCUUCGGGUUGUAAAGCCCUUUUGUUGGGAAAGAAAAGCAGCAGGUUAAUACCCCGCUGUUCUGACGGUACCCAAAGAAUAAGCACCGGCUAACUUCGUG